AAUAGAUACCCGGGUAGUCCACGCCGUAAACGAUGGGUACUAGGUGUAGGGGGUAUCGACUCCCCCUGUGCCGCCGUUAACACAAUAAGUACCCCGCCUGGGGAGUACGGUCGCAAGAUUAAAACUCAAAGGAAUUGACGGGGGCCCGCACAAGCAGCGGAGCAUGUGGUUUAAUUCGAAGCAACGCGAAGAACCUUACCUAGACUUGACAUCUCCUGCAUUACUCUUAAUCGAGGAAGUUCUCCCUUCGGGGAGGACAGGGAAGACAGGUGGUGCAUGGUUGUCGUCAGCUUGUGUCGUGAGAUGUUGGGUUAAGUCCCGCAACGAGCGCAACCCUUAUUGUUAGUUGCUACCAUUAAGUUGAGCACUCUAGCAAGACUGCCGUGGUUAACGCGGAGGAAGGUGGGGAUGACGUCAAAUCAUCAUGCCCCUUAUGUCUAGGGCUACACACGUGCUACAAUGGCGAGUACAAAGAGACGCAAAGCCGCGAGGUGGAGCAAAACUUAGUAAAACUCGUCUCAGUUCGGAUUGCAGGCUGAAACUCGCCUGC
Molecule: ribosomal RNA, 550 nt
Filed under: uncultured bacterium
Lineage: Bacteria
Description: bacterial SSU rRNA
Rfam family: Bacterial small subunit ribosomal RNA
Source: RNAcentral